This 823-nucleotide non-coding RNA is filed under the name Toxicocalamus loriae (Loria forest snake). The record is from RNAcentral. Lineage: Eukaryota; Metazoa; Chordata; Lepidosauria; Squamata; Elapidae.
UCUUGGUCUUGACCUCUUAUUGUCUAACUCAGUACUUAUACAUGCAUGCCUCAUCACAACAGUGAAAUAGCCUACCACAACUACCAUUAAUGAGCCGGUAUCAGGCCAACCGCCAACAACACCAAGCAAUCUUAAGCCACAUCCCCACGGACCCGCAGCAGUAGCUAAUAUUGGGCCAUAAGCGUAAGCUUGACCCAGCAACAUGAGCCCCAGAGCCGGUUAAUCUCGUGCCAGCGACCGCGGUUACACGACAGGCCCUAGACAACACCAACGGCGUAAAGCACGGCUAAAACCCUGAUUCACCCAUUAGGGGUAAAGACAAGCCAGGCUGUAAAAAGCCAUAAGCCACACCAAACACAAACCCUAUACACCUAAACAAUUUCAACCCGUGAAAGCCAGGACACAAACUAAGAUUAGAUACCUUACUAUGCCUGGCUGUAAUAAAACAGUCAAACAACCAACUGCUCGCCAAAUAACUACGAGUAAAAACUUAAAAUUUAAAAGACUUGACGGUACUUCACACCAACCUAGAGGAGCCUGUCCAAUAACCGAUGAUCCACGAUUAACCCAACCCCCCCUAGCCUAAACAGUCUAUAUACCGCCGUCGCCAGCUUACCUUGUGAAAGGAACAAAGUAAGCCCAACAAUUCUUCCACUAAUACGACAGGUCGAGGUGUAACUAAUGGGCGGGACCAAGAUGGGCUACAUUUUCUAACUUAGAACAAACGAACAGACUAUGAAACUAGAACUGAAGGCGGAUUUAGCAGUAAGCUGAGAACAAACACACCCGGCCGAAACUAACGCAAUGAAGUGUGCACACACCG